This 253-nucleotide ribosomal RNA is filed under the name uncultured bacterium. RNAcentral describes it as "partial 16S ribosomal RNA". It matches the Rfam family "Bacterial small subunit ribosomal RNA", at positions 524 to 776 of the family's 1533-position model. The record is from RNAcentral.
UACGUAGGGUGCAAGCGUUGUCCGGAAUUAUUGGGCGUAAAGAGCUCGUAGGCGGUCUGUCGCGUCGGACGUGAAAAUCCAGGGCUCAACCCUGGACCUGCGUUCGAUACGGGCAGACUAGAGUUCGGUAGGGGAGACUGGAAUUCCUGGUGUAGCGGUGAAAUGCGCAGAUAUCAGGAGGAACACCAGUGGCGAAGGCGACUUCCUGGCCUGUUCUUGACGCUGAGGCGCGAAAGCUAGGGGAGCAAACGGG